RNAcentral lists this ribosomal RNA (473 nucleotides) under uncultured bacterium. RNAcentral's name for it is "bacterial SSU rRNA". It matches the Rfam family "Bacterial small subunit ribosomal RNA", at positions 335 to 799 of the family's 1533-position model. The record is from RNAcentral.
ACUCCUACGGGAGGCAGCAGUGGGGAAUAUUGCACAAUGGGCGCAAGCCUGAUGCAGCCAUGCCGCGUGUAUGAAGAAGGCCUUCGGGUUGUAAAGUACUUUCAGCAGUGAGGAAGGUGGGUAUGUUAAUAGCAUACUCAUUUGACGUUAGCUGCAGAAGAAGCACCGGCUAACUCCGUGCCAGCAGCCGCGGUAAUACGGAGGGUGCGAGCGUUAAUCGGAAUUACUGGGCGUAAAGCGCAUGCAGGUGGUUUGUUAAGUCAGAUGUGAAAGCCCGGGGCUCAACCUCGGAAUUGCAUUUGAAACUGGCAAACUAGAGUACUGUAGAGGGGGGUAGAAUUUCAGGUGUAGCGGUGAAAUGCGUAGAGAUCUGAAGGAAUACCGGUGGCGAAGGCGGCCCCCUGGACAGAUACUGACACUCAGAUGCGAAAGCGUGGGGAGCAAACAGGAUUAGAUACCCCCGGUAGGCGUAG